RNAcentral lists this unclassified non-coding RNA (138 nucleotides) under soil metagenome. RNAcentral describes it as "partial internal transcribed spacer 1". The record is from RNAcentral.
UCAAAACAGCGGCCUUCGGGCCUCGCUGCACCCUUGUCUUUUGCGCACCGUAUUGUUUCCUCGGCGGGCUUGCCUGCCGGUUGGACAUCAUAAAACCUCUUGUAGUUGCAAUCAGCGUCAGAAAAACAAUAAUUAUUA